Molecule: ribosomal RNA, 220 nt
Filed under: uncultured bacterium
Lineage: Bacteria
Description: partial 16S ribosomal RNA
Rfam family: Bacterial small subunit ribosomal RNA
Source: RNAcentral
CGCGUAUGCAAUCUGCCUUUCACAGAGGGAUAGCCCAGAGAAAUUUGGAUUAAUACCUCAUGGUAUAUUUGAGUGGCAUCACUUAAUUAUUAAAGAUUUAUCGGUGAAAGAUGAGCAUGCGUCCCAUUAGCUAGUUGGUAAGGUAACGGCUUACCAAGGCAACGAUGGGUAGGGGUCCUGAGAGGGAGAUCCCCCACACUGGUACUGAGACACGGACCAG